RNAcentral lists this small RNA (434 nucleotides) under Pongo abelii (Sumatran orangutan). RNAcentral's name for it is "retained intron". The record is from RNAcentral. Lineage: Eukaryota; Metazoa; Chordata; Mammalia; Primates; Hominidae.
ACCGCGGCCUCAGAUGAAUGUGGCUGUUAAGAGCUGCAAUAAUCCAGAAUGGCUACUCUGAUCUAUGUUGAUAAGGAAAAUGGAGAACCAGGCACCCGUGUGGCUGCUAAGGAUGGGCUGAAGCUGGGGUCUGGACCUUCAAUCAAAGCGUUAGAUGGGAGAUCUCAAGUUUCAACACCAUGUUUUGGCAAAACGUUCGAUGCCCCACCAGCCUUACCUAAAGCUACCAGAAAGGCUUUGGGAACUGUCAACAGAGCUACAGAAAAGUCUGUAAAGACCAAGGGACCCAUCAAACAAAAACAGCCAAGCUUUUCUGCCAAAAAGGUAAGUGUUGGCUAUAAAGACACUGUUUAAACACUGAAGCACUUUUGACUCUUAAAAUGACUAUUGGCAUCAUCCUACCUAGCUUUCUUCCCUCUGAGUAGAAGGGAAAU